RNAcentral lists this non-coding RNA (28 nucleotides) under Gallus gallus (chicken). The record is from RNAcentral. RNAcentral also lists the same sequence under 7 other names. Lineage: Eukaryota; Metazoa; Chordata; Aves; Galliformes; Phasianidae.
GGUUUCGUACGUAGCAGAGCAGCUCCCU